Molecule: ribosomal RNA, 426 nt
Filed under: uncultured bacterium
Lineage: Bacteria
Description: bacterial SSU rRNA
Rfam family: Bacterial small subunit ribosomal RNA
Source: RNAcentral
UGGGGAAUUGUUCGCAAUGGGCGCAAGCCUGACGACGCAACGCCGCGUGGAGGAUGAAGAUUUUCGGAUCGUAAACUCCUGUCGAAUGGGACGAACAGAUUGCGGGUUAACAGCCCGCGAUCCUGACGGUACCGUUAAAUGAAACCCCGGCUAACUCCGUGCCAGCAGCCGCGGUAAUACGGGGGGGGCGAGCGUUGUUCGGAAUUACUGGGCGUAAAGGGCGCGUAGGCGGCGACUCAAGUUAGAUGUGAAAGUCCUGGGCUUAACCUGGGGACUGCAUUUGAUACUGGGUUGCUUGAAUUCGGGAGAGGAUAGCGGAAUUCCCAGUGUAGAGGUGAAAUUCGUAGAUAUUGGGAAGAACACCGGUGGCGAAGGCGGCUAUCUGGACCGACAUUGACGCUGAGGCGCGAAAGCGUGGGGAGCAAA